CGCACGAGCGCACCCCUAUCCUUAGUUGCUAGCAGGUAAUGCUGAGAACUCUANCNNNUNCUGCCGGUGAUAAACCGGAGGAAGGUGGGGACGACGUCAAGUCAUCAUGGCCCUUACGUGUAGGGCUACACACGUGCUACAAUGGCGCAUACAGAGUGCUGCGAACUCGCGAGAGUAAGCGAAUCACUUAAAGUGCGUCGUAGUCCGGAUUGGAGUCUGCAACUCGACUCCAUGGAGUCGGAAUCGCUAGUAAUCGCAUAUCAGAAUGAUGCGGUGAAUACGUUCCCGGGCCUUGUACACACCGCCCGUCACACCAUGGGAGUGGGUUGCUCCAGAAGUGGAUAGUCUAACCUUCGGGAGGACGUUCACCACGGAGUGAUUCAUGACUGGGGUGAAGUCGUAACAAGGUAGCCCUAGGGGAACCUGGGGCUGGAUCACCUCCUU
This 444-nucleotide ribosomal RNA is filed under the name uncultured Pseudoalteromonas sp. Its description in RNAcentral is "bacterial SSU rRNA". It matches the Rfam family "Bacterial small subunit ribosomal RNA", at positions 1088 to 1532 of the family's 1533-position model. The record is from RNAcentral. Lineage: Bacteria; Pseudomonadati; Pseudomonadota; Gammaproteobacteria; Alteromonadales; Pseudoalteromonadaceae.